GACGAACGCUGGCGGCGUGCUUAACACAUGCAAGUCGAACGGAAAGGCCCUGCUUUUGUGGGGUGCUCGAGUGGCGAACGGGUGAGUAACACGUGAGUAACCUGCCCUUGACUUUGGGAUAACUUCAGGAAGCUGGGGCUAAUACCGGAUAGGAGCUCCUGCUGCAUGGUGGGGGUUGGAAAGUUUCGGCGGUUGGGGAUGGACUCGCGGCUUAUCAGCUUGUUGGUGGGGUAGUGGCUUACCAAGGCUUUGACGGGUAGCCGGCCUGAGAGGGUGACCGGCCACAUUGGGACUGAGAUACGGCCCAGACUCCUACGGGAGGCAGCAGUGGGGAAUAUUGCGCAAUGGGCGGAAGCCUGAUGCAGCAACGCCGCGUGCGGGAUGACGGCCUUCGGGUUGUAAACCGCUUUCGCCUGUGACGAAGCGUGAGUGACGGUAAUGGGUAAAGAAGCACCGGCUAACUACGUG
Molecule: ribosomal RNA, 468 nt
Filed under: uncultured bacterium
Lineage: Bacteria
Description: partial 16S ribosomal RNA
Rfam family: Bacterial small subunit ribosomal RNA
Source: RNAcentral